CUACGGGAUGCCACCAGUGGGGAAUAUUGCACAAUGGAGGAAACUCUGAUGCAGCAACGCCGCGUGGAGGAUGACACUUUUCGGAGCGUAAACUCCUUUUAUAUAGGAAGAAGAUGACGGUACUAUAUGAAUAAGCGCCGGCUAACUCCGUGCCAGCAGCCGCGGUAAUACGGAGGGCGCAAGCGUUACUCGGAAUCACUGGGCGUAAAGAGCGUGUAGGCGGAUUAAAAAGUCAGAAGUGAAAUCCUAUAGCUUAACUAUAGAACUGCUUCUGAAACUCUUAAUCUAGAAUAUGGGAGAGGUAGAUGGAAUUUCUGGUGUAGGGGUAAAAUCCGUAGAGAUCAGAAGGAAUACCGAUUGCGAAGGCGAUCUACUAGAACAUUAUUGACGCUGAGACGCGAAAGCGUGGGGAGCAAACAGGAUUAGAUACCCGUGUAGUC
RNAcentral lists this ribosomal RNA (440 nucleotides) under uncultured bacterium. RNAcentral's name for it is "partial 16S ribosomal RNA". It matches the Rfam family "Bacterial small subunit ribosomal RNA", at positions 339 to 795 of the family's 1533-position model. The record is from RNAcentral.